RNAcentral lists this transfer RNA (90 nucleotides) under Micromonospora sp. AKA109. Its description in RNAcentral is "tRNA-Val". The record is from RNAcentral. Lineage: Bacteria; Bacillati; Actinomycetota; Actinomycetes; Micromonosporales; Micromonosporaceae.
CAUCGUGCUGGUGCACGACGCGGCGCGGGCGCUCACCCCGCCCGCGCUCGUCGAGGCGGUGGCGGCAGCCGUCCGGGCCGGCCACGACGC